RNAcentral lists this small nucleolar RNA (96 nucleotides) under Salix viminalis (osier). The record is from RNAcentral. Lineage: Eukaryota; Viridiplantae; Streptophyta; Magnoliopsida; Malpighiales; Salicaceae.
CCUGGUGUCAAUGAUGUCAUUGAUAAUCCCAUCUCUAUGAGAUCUUCUAUUUGAAGGCUCAGGAAUAGAUUUUAUCAAUUUCUGUCUGAGCCCAAA